Molecule: ribosomal RNA, 497 nt
Filed under: uncultured bacterium
Lineage: Bacteria
Description: partial 16S ribosomal RNA
Rfam family: Bacterial small subunit ribosomal RNA
Source: RNAcentral
GAUGAACGCUGGCGGCGUGCCUAAUACAUGCAAGUCGAGCGAACGGACGAGAAGCUUGCUUCUCUGAUGUUAGCGGCGGACGGGUGAGUAACACGUGGAUAACCUACCUAUAAGACUGGGAUAACUUCGGGAAACCGGAGCUAAUACCGGAUGAUAUUUUGAACCGCAUGGUUCAAAAGUGAAAGACGGUCUUGCUGUCACUUAUAGAUGGAUCCGCGCUGCAUUAGCUAGUUGGUAAGGUAACUGCUUACCAAGGCAACGAUGCAUAGCCGACCUGAGAGGGUGGACGGCCACACUGGAACUGAGAAACGGUCCAGACUCCUACGGGAGGCAGCAGUAGGGAAUCUUCCGCAAUGGGCGAAAGCCUGACGGAGCAAAGCCGCGUGAGUGAUGAAGGUCUUCGGAUCGUAAAACUCUGUUAUUAGGGAAGAACAUAUGUGUAAGUAACUGUGAACAUCUUGACGGUACCUAAUCAGAAAGCCACGGCUAACUACGUG